AUUUAAAUAGCUUAUAAUUUAGAGCAUAAUAUUGAAGAUAUUAAGGAGAUAUAAUUAUCUUUAAAUA
This 67-nucleotide transfer RNA is filed under the name Macdunnoughia hybrida. Its description in RNAcentral is "tRNA-Phe". The record is from RNAcentral. Lineage: Eukaryota; Metazoa; Arthropoda; Insecta; Lepidoptera; Noctuidae.